This 297-nucleotide small nuclear RNA is filed under the name Junco hyemalis (dark-eyed junco). RNAcentral's name for it is "7SK RNA (ENSJHYG00000004699.1)". It matches the Rfam family "7SK RNA". From Rfam's summary of the family: 7SK was discovered as an abundant small nuclear RNA in the mid-70s but a possible function has only recently been suggested. Two independent studies have found that 7SK RNA binds the CDK9/cyclin T complex (known as elongation factor P-TEFb). The record is from Rfam by way of RNAcentral. Lineage: Eukaryota; Metazoa; Chordata; Aves; Passeriformes; Passerellidae.
GGAUGUGAGGGCAAUCUGGACAUGUCACCCCACUGCUCUCCAGGGUUUUUGACUGAGCUGAUCUGGCUGGCCAGGUGGUGUCCCAAAGCUCUGUGUGUGUCCCUCCUGAAGCUGAGGAUGCCAUCCCCUCUAGAGACGGCACCAUCCAUCAGUCAAGGGUAUAAGGCAGCUGCGCUCCCCUGCCACAGCCUCCAAACCAGCUCAAGGUCCAUUUGUAGGAGAACAGGGGGUAGCCAAGCUUCCAAGACUGCAGACACAUCCAAGUGAGGCGCUCCAUGGGGGAAUUUUCCUUUGCUU